RNAcentral lists this long non-coding RNA (6911 nucleotides) under Sus scrofa (pig). Its description in RNAcentral is "lncRNA (ENSSSCG00015007496.1)". Lineage: Eukaryota; Metazoa; Chordata; Mammalia; Artiodactyla; Suidae. The record is from RNAcentral.
GAUGCAUAGAUAGAGAAAUAGAGGGAUAGACAGGUGAGAGUUAGAGCUAAGGAUAUAUGAUCCAAUAGAGAAAGAGGCACAAAACCUUUUCUGUGUUUGUCUCAGGCAUCUGCGUUAGAGGCCAAAGAGGCUGCCCUGAGCUUGAUGGCCAUACGAUUUUGAUGUGUCUGCGAGAAGUUGAGGAAAGAGGAGUAGAGUACCUACUAUUUUUUUUUUUUUUGCUGUGUAUUCUUUUUUUUUAUUCUUAUUUUAUUUUUUCCAUUAUUUUUAUUAUUUUCUCUUUUUAUGGCAGUAUCUGAGGCAUAUGGAAGUUCCUGGGCCAGAGGUUGAAUCAGAGCUGCAGCUGGGACCUGCGUCACAGCCACAGCAACUUGGGAUAAGAGCUGCCUCUGCGACCUACACUGUGGCUUGUGGCAAUGCUGGCUUCUUAACCCAGCGAGCAAGGCCAGGGAUCGAACCAAAAUCUUCAUGGACAUUAUGUUGGGUUCUUAACCUGCUGAGCUGCAAUGGGAACUCCCUUUUCUAUUAUUUUUAAAUAUAUAAUUCAUAUACUGUAAAUAUCUCCCUUUUAAAGUAUACAUAUCACUACUAGUUCCGGGCUGUUUUCAUCGCUCCACAAAGAAACUCCAUAACCAUUAGCAGUCAUUCCCACUCCAUCCUACCCCGGAAAUCACUAAUGUCUUUUUUGUUUGUUUGUUUGUUUGUUUCUCUCUCUCUAUGCCUUUGACUAUUUGGGACAUUGCGUAUAAAUGCAUUCACACAAUGCAUUUGACUUUUUGGUCUGGCUUCUUUAACUUAGCAUAAUAUUUUCAAGGUUCGUCCACAUUGUAGCAUGUUUCACUGCUACAUUCCUUUUCUUUCUUUUUUUUUUUUUAACUAUCACCUUUGAUGGUCUGAGUAUCUCAUAGAUACAAAAUAAGCAUCUAUGCUCUUGAGAAUUAUAUCUGCAAGGAACACACCAGAUGAGAUCGGGUGCUUUCAGGUCGGUGUGGCGGUGGACAGGAACACACCAGAGAGCUCAAGUAUUUAGGCAAAAUGACUGGAAGGAGGCGAGAGAUACACAUUGACUUUCUGGUGCUGAUGAGGUCGUUGUCCCUCAAAGCCUUCACUGUGAAGUGGGAGUAAUAUUGCUUGUUCUCCCCCUCUUUUAAAAAUUCUUUUUUAAUUGAGGUGUCAUUGGUGUGUGACAUUAUGUUAAUUUCCGCUGUACCACCUAAUUAUUAAGUAUGUGUAUGCAUUGUGAAAUGAUCGUCCAUUCCUUUUUGUGGCUGAAAACGUUCCAUGUUAUGGAUGUGCCCAUUUUGUGUAUGUAUUCAUGAUGGAUGUGUGAGCUAUCUCCACUUUUUGGCUAUGAUGAAUGAUGCUGCUGUGAACAUUUGUGUACCUGGUUUUAUGGGCUAAACGUUUCAUUUUUCUAGAGUCAGUCCAGGAGUGGCUUUCCUGGGUCAUAUGGGAACUCUCUGUUUAAACUUGGGGGAACUGUAAAAGCAUCUUCAAAAAUGGCCAUAUCAUUGUCCAAGAGUGUCCUUUACUCUUUGAGCCUCUACUGUUGGCCGAGCACUGUGCUCUUCUCUUGGUGUAUGUCUUUCCUGUGAGCUUAUAGUCAUUCUUUCUUCUUUACAGGAUCAGAAACAGAGGCUCUGAGUGUUUAAAACAGAGAGAGCGAGAGCACUCCGGUUAUUGUUAAAUGACCAAGUCUAGGGCCUCCCCUAAGACUGAACCCUAAAGUCCUGCCCCAGGGCUUGGUGAGGGGUUACUCGAAACCAGCCUGCAUCAGACAAUGCAACAAGCCAGGCAUGGUGUCCAGUGCAGUGGUGGGGGCACUGCAGAGUAACCAGCCUUUCUGCUGUGUCUGCAGCUGGAACCAGGGCAGAAGUCAAGGGAGCCCAAGAGCCUCUCAGACCGGGCUGGAUCCCUGGAGGACACCAUGGACCAGGACAAGAAGGAGGACAGACUGGGCUGGGCUGGGUCCCUGGAGCCCCUCUGGUUGGGAGCAGCUGGACAUUCUCAAGGCCACCUGUCUGCAAGAUCUGUUGCCUCUGGCCACUCCCACCUGUACCUGCCUCAGUUCAGGAAGCCAUAAUUUCAUUUCUCAGCUAUUUAUUGUUCUCUCAAUUUGUGAUUUUUACCUCAAUCAUCGUUAUUUGUGAAAUACGGAGGGUUACAAGUAAAGACAUCCCAAGUUAAACAGCUCCUCCAGGCCAAAUUAAAUGAGCGCCGUGUAACCUGGGCUCCUCCUCUGGAGAAAGGACAGGCUAGUGCUGCCACCCACACCUGCACACCUGGGCAGGUGUUUGCCUCACACCUCCCAAAUGUUCUGGCCCUGGCCUGGGAUGAGCAACUACUUGCUGGGGAGAGUGGCCUAGAAGCCAGAGAGAAGAGUGUUGGAGACACUCUUUCCAUGUCCAUUUUGCUGCAGCUUUUUGGAAGUGGAAACUGGCAUUUCAGUGUUGGGGCCUCUUGGAAUGGACCUGUUCUGUAGGUCAUUCAUCCGUCCAAGGCGUCCAGAUCUUCUCAAGCCAAGAGCAAUGAAUUCAUAGAUUAUUUCCCUGAACACUGGCCAUCAAGGUUAUUUUCUAAGAGGUGGAGAAUGACCGGGGCGUGGAAGUGCGUGUGGUUUUUUUGGGGUCUGUUGCAUCCACUUUCAUCACUCCUUAGUGAAAUCUGCAAACCUUCACCUGCCUAAACCUGCAGUCUUCAGGCUGCGCUGGGCAGGUCUACCCACUGUUGAGAGACAGGAGUCUGUUUCCCUAUGGAGUAUUUUCCUCUCGGGUGCCUCUUUGUUUUCUUCUAGCAAGGGAAGAAACCAAAGUUACAUGGAACAGGAAGUAAGUAGCAUGGGAGGUGAAUUGGGAAAGAGUGAGAUGGAGAAACCAUCCUGGCCUGAGGAUGCCUUGAGCACGGGGGGGUCCUGGUGACCUGACAGCACUGGGCUCUGGGGGAUCGGCUUUUUCUGUGUCUUCAUAGGCAGAAUUAAGACCAAGGUUUGGAACAUACCACGCGGAUGCUGAUGUUGACUCUAUGUAGAGAACAUUUAAAAUGAGCCCCGUGGAGGUUGCUGUUUGGAGGGGCUCACUGGGGGUUUGUACCUCUGGAGGCAUUUAUUCUGAGGCUAGACUCCAUCCUGGCACUGGUGUGGAGGAGGUAUACUGCAUUAGACCAAGGGCAGAGUGGCCCUGGAUGAUCCUGAGUAUCCAGGUUUCUGUGCAUUUGAUCAGUUUGUAUUUAUUGGAUGGGGGGCACUAUUAUUGUAGCUGCUGAAUUCAUCAAUUCUUCAAGAAGCUGGAUUUUACCACUUCUCCAUCUAGUGGAUACCUCCUAAGCUAGUGUUUAUGUUGCUGUACCUGGGCCCUCCCAGAUAAAGAAGGGUUUUGCCUCUUACUUCCCUUUGUCUGGUUUCUGGUGUUUGAAUCGGGUGUUGAGAGACCUCACAGUUUCCUGCACAACCUCUGGAAGAAAAUAUGUUGAUUUGUCGAUAUGGUCACGUUAUUCCACAGUCUGCGUUUAUUGACGGAUGCGCUUUCUUGCUGUGUCCUCAUUCUGUCACAUAUGUUUUCACACUGAAGCUGCAGAGCAAGGGGCAUGGAAUCUGAGAGCUCUGAGGGGUCUCGGAUACUCUUCAGUCAUGUCCCUGCUUUACACGUGUGAGCUCUGUGGCCCUGGGGUCUACGGAACUGUAUCCCACACGUGCCAAGCUUUAUUUUUUCUGUUGGGGUAAUUGCUUUUCCAUAAUGAUCCCUAGAGGAGAAGCACCAUGUGUCUCUGCUCUCUUUUCCAGCCGAUUCCUUGGAAGAGCUGCCCGGACCUGCUGCCUUCAUCACUUCACCUCUUGUUCUCUCUCAAACUUACUCUUGGCUUUGAUUCCCUGACACUUGUUCUGCAAAAUUCAUGGAUGCCCAGUCCAAGAGUUGGUUCUCAGACCCCAUCAUUUCUAGGGGUUCUGUCUACAUGCCUCUUGGUUUUUCUUCCUUGGUUCUUCUCUUUUUGGUCCUCAGGAUUCAGGCUUCCAUUUCUCUGUGUAUCUUUGUUGCCUAGGUGACUCCUCGAGGACCACGUCUUUAAAGGGAAUUGAGUGAAUCCCAAUUUUGUAUCUCCAGACCUGACUUCAUCCCAUAUCAUAGCCUUGAUAUCUCCAUUUGGAUGUCUUAUAAGCACCUCCAAUUGAAUACGUAUAUCCCACCCAAACUCUUGAUUCUGUCACUCCACCUCACACCCCAAAUCCUCCCCGACGGCUCCCCCCUCCCCGAUUCUCCAUCUCUGUCAAUGGCACCAACGUCCAGCCUUCUUCACUACUCAGGCCAGAGAUGUGAAAGGGAGCUCCCUUCCUCUCCUGUGUCUUCAGUUAUGCUGAGGGUUGGCUGAUCUGGGCUGAGUUCAGCUGGGCUCAAUUUUAAGCUGCACAUUGGACCCAGCUGUUCACAUGUCUCUCAUCCUCCUUGGACUGGUAAGCCACCCAAAGCACGUUGUCAUGAUGAUAGCAAGACAAAGAGGCUAAGACUAACAGUACAAGCACCUUUCAAACCUCUGCUCAUGUCACAGCCACUAGACCCUGUUGGCCAAAGCCAGUCUCACAGCCAAGCCCAAAGUUAGGGACGGGGAAUUACACUCUCCCUAGCCAGAUGGUCUUCCAGGGGUGUGCAGGGCUGGGAGCGGAUAUUUGCUGAACAAAAAUCUAAGGUAUCACCUCUGGGAAGGGCUUACAAGAAAAAAGAGGAAAUUUCCUUAUAAGUAAAUGGAAUCUUGGUAAUAAAUAGGGUGUUUUUGUGAGGAACUGAAUAUGUGAUUUUUAAACUUGUGGUGCUUUUGAAAGGCUCUUUGAGAAUUAAGUAUUUUGUGUUCAGGUUCUAAUAAUUACUUAGGGAUGAUGGUGGUGGUAAUGGUGAUGUUGGUGAUGGUGACGUUGGUGUUGGGUGUGUGUGUGUGUGUGUGUGUGUGUGGGCAGGUGGAAGGAAGAUGAUACUAAUGAUUUGGGUGGGGCGAAGGAAAGAGCAGCAUUUUCCCAGGGUGCUGCAUUUUUGUUUGUCUUACUCUUCCUUAUCCCUCUCCUGAGUUCAUAACUUACCUUCUAUGAUAUGAUCAUUGUUGUCAUAGGUGAAUCUACAGAUAUUAUUUUAAAAUGCUAUGCUUUUUGCAGAAUUUGGUGAAGUUGGUGUUGCUUUAUUUUUGGCUUUUUAGGGCUGCACCUGUGCCAUAUGGAAGUUCCCAGGCUAGAGGUCCAAUCGGAGCUGCAGCUGCCAGCCUACGUCACAGCCACAGCAACACUGGGAUCUGAGCUGCGUCUGUGACCUACACCACAGCUCAUGGCAACGCCAGAUCCUUAGCCCACUAAGCGAGGCCAGGGAUCGAACCCGUGUCCUCAUGGAUCCUAGUCGGGUUUGUUAACCGCUGAGCUACAAAGGGAACUCCGUGGUGUUGCUGUCCUUUGCUGCCCUCUCUCCCUCCCCUUUAACUUUUCUCACUAGGAAUAAAAUCCUAAGAGGGCUCGAGGCAUGAGAAGGGCAGAGAAGAAUUUCCCCUGAAAGCCACUGGGGCUGGCUGGUGCUGCGUGAGUGUGGCAGGUGGCCUGAUCUGCAGUGUCUUGUGUGCAUUUGAUGCCAGCAGAUUUCUUAGGUUGUGGCAGCCGGCUUUUCUUCAAUUCAGCACAUUUCCUACCCAGCCCUAGGUCAGCUUUAUUUUCCUUUGUGUAGUUUUGUAAGCAACGUGAGGCUAAGUGACACAAUUAACCUGUGUAGCCAGCAUCUUUCUUCCAUCUGCUCCAAGCAAUCCUGACAAUUGCCAAACUCGUCUUUUCUUUAUUCUGUUAGGAAUAUUCUUUUCACCUACACACUCAGGCGUUUGAAUCAGCCAGAGCCUGGGCCGGGCCAGACACGUGUUUAUCACCCUCCACACACAAGGGGAGGUUUAUGCCAAUGUUUGCUUGGCACUGAGAAUGGGAUUCAGGCCUUUUUGAUCUUUCUCAUCACAGUGGCAUGAAAUCAGUGAGUCGCUAAGGCGUGCUUGGCAGCCUGAUAGAUGGAGACCCAGGUUCUAGACUCACCACUGACGCCUUUCCAUCACCUAAAGAACAUUCUUCAUCGUUGCUGGGCCUCCCUUUUCUGGUGCACUGAAUGUGGAUGGGGCUAGUCUUAGGAUCGAAUUAAAUAAUCUUUGUAGAAAGAUUCCGGGAAGUCUAAAGUUCAUAAUACGUGUAAGACAUGUCGUUUCGAAUAAAAGUGCAGUUUGAAAAUUUAUAGACAGUUUGUUCCAAAAGUACUUCAAGCACAUAGCAAUGAUUCAUAUCUCUUGGAACUGCGAAGGCUGCAUGAACAGUUUGGUUAAUGGGAGAAAAUAUACUUCCAGGAUUCUGGCUUCGGGGGUGGGAGAGCACAUGGCCAGAGACGUAUUAGUCAUCACUUUGUCUUGCAGGACAGAGUCCAGGAGUGGGGGGCCAUCUGUCAUGGACGGAAUAUUUGUGUUCCCCACCUCCCCAAAUUCAUAUGUGGCAGCCCUAACCCCAAUGAAAUGGCAUUCGGAGGUGGGGACUUUGGGGAAUUAAAUAGGAUUCGAUGAGAUCGGGAGGGUUGAGUCCCUAGGAUGGAGUUAACGUCCUUGCAGCAGGGAAAGAUAACAGUUUGCUCUCUCUCCAUGUAAGGACACAGCAAGAAGGCAGCUGUCUUGAGACAGCUCACCAAAAACUUCACCCAAGACCCUCACCGAAAAACCCCAGUCUUGGCCUCCCCGGGUACCCUAAUCUUGGACUCCCCAACCUCCAGAGCGGUGAGAAAUUAACAUCUGUUGUUGAAGCCACUUGGUCUUUAGUAUUUGGUUAGAGUAGCCUGAGCAGACUAAGACAUCAGGGAAAAUUUGAAAACAUGGUCAUGUCGAGAGAUGGCUGAAGGAAGGGAUGUGUUCAGUUAGGAAAAAAGAAAAAA